CCCCACAGGAUGCUUUGGUUGCACUUGUUUUUUAACUCCCCGGUAGGUCAGUUAUGCCGUGUCCCAGCUUCUUGCCAGAAGAUACUGCUUGAAGGGUUUUCUGAAGUGGAGAAGUCUGAGCCUGUAAUUAUUCACACCACAAGCUGCAUGGACAACUUCUCUGCCAUGUUUGUGCUGCUGAAUUCACUCUGGGACCAUAGAAAUGAGCCAAGCACACCAUGCCAGGGCAAAGCCAGGACUUCACCAUCCCCACUGUGGAAUUCAGCCCCUCUCUGGCAUGGUUUUCAUCCACUCCAGCAAGCCGAGGCUUGGGCACAGCUUGCACAGUCACUGAUACUGGCCAAAGACCAUCCCGAGUUGGCAGUGUGGAUGUGGCUAUGCUGUAUUGAGAUGAAAGAGUUUAGUAGUAUGGAUGUGGCCAGCACGGUUGUCUUUGAGGCCAGAAUGGAUCCUGGCAGUGUUUACUGUGCUAAUAAAGAUGUAUCUGUAUGCCACACAGCAGGAUUUGGGAUUCUGUGGAGUACAUCAGCUCUGGCCUGGCAUACUUCUGUUGUCUGCCCAGUUCGAUGGACAAAAUAUUUCUUAGUUCACUCUGGUUCUUUUUGCUGAGCUUAUUUUGCAAGCAGUGUCACUUACACUGGGCUAAUGUCAAUGCGUCCAUCUCUCCAUCCAUCUCAGAUGUCUGGCGCGCUCACUGUGGCAGUCUUACACAUCUGCAGGCAGUUGAUUUGGAGACUUGAGUGAUUCACACCAGACCAAGUCAGCAAUGGGCAUACAGGAGUUACAAGGUCCUUGUCCAUACCCUCGUGAUGCUGUGCCACCCACACAAGGAGUUUCUUACCCAAAGUACAUCUAGUUUGGACUGCAGAAGAGGAGCUGGUGUUCUGCAAUUGCCAGUGGAAAGUGCAAGCGAGCCGCCAAUUUCAAGAGUAAAUGUAUAUUUUGCAGUGUACUGGAUGGGAGCUAAAUGUCCACUUCAUCCUAUCCAUCUCUGCACCUGCCAAAAACUCAGUAGCCAUUUGCCUGUAUUUUCAUUUAGAGCUGACUAGAUUCAAUGGGACAAAAUGAAUUUCAGGCUUUAGUCAGUGUUCUGCUAAAACCCGUCUGGUGGUGCUGAUAGGAAGGUGUUGCUAUUGACUUUCAGAGAGCAAGAGACCCUUGCUCUUCAGCUGUAUUUUCCCAUACACAAGAUUCACUUCACAAUGUAUCCCUGCUCCUCAUCCCCACACAGAAUUGCAUGACCCGAGUCACCCACACCCCACAGCAUCACCAAACCUCCUGAAGAAAAUGUGGUCUGAGGUCCACCCAGCACGAUUUCAUUGAAGCUCAGAGGUGCUUUGAAAAGGAAAACUUACUACUGUGCAUUUGCAAAACCUUUUAGUGCCUGCUUGCUGGGCAGCUUGGGCAAGAGAUCAUUUGGAAGCUGCCAGAAUCAGUAAAAAACUGUAGGGACAGGCUUUUCUAGGAUCUUCUGUUACUGGGUUAGCUUCCGUCUGGAUUCUGUUCAGCUCCAAUGUGGUCACGCAAAGUAAAACAAACAACAAAACCCACACAAAAUAAGGUCUAUGCCAAUCCCCACAGAAGCCAAGGCUAGCUGGUAGGGACGACGUGAACUCAGUUGCUCACCCUUUGCUUGCUGCAGCUUGCAUGCUGUUACUUUGGCAGUUGUCUGCAGCCCUGGGCUUUGGGGAUGGUCGAUGCCCAGGGCUGUGAUUGCUGUUUUCAUUUUUCCUUGGAGCUCAGGUGUAUUCUGGUGCAGAGAAUCUCAGCCUGGUUUGAAUGGGAAGAUUGGAGGCUAUCCCAAAUAGACGUGGGCAAACCUUUCACUGUGUGCAGAGUGCAUUUCCAGACCUUUGGGUACCGCUUAUUUCUCCAUGAGCGCGUUCAGAAUCGCUUCCUUGUGUUUGAACCUGGAAAUAGCAGUGUGGUGGCUCUUUUCUGCUGCGGUGUGAUGUGGGGAAAGGGAGGACCCUUCUUUCUGAGCUGGAGAUUGCCUGUGUUCAACCCUUGUUCCUUACUUGAAGCUCAGGCUGUAGGAUAAUGAGAAAAAUGAGAAAGUGUGUUGAAAGAUAGCUGCAUAUGUCCCACUGGCUCUUCACUACCAAGGAGGGAGGCAAUCAGUGACAAUUAAAUCUGCAAAAUCUGAAAUGAACCUGCCAGUCUAGUUGUUGGCAGCCCUGCCCACGGCCAUGGGGCUGGAACUCGGUGAUCUUUAAGGUCCCCUCCAACCUAUGCUGCUCUGCGGUUCUAUGGAAACAAUCUGGACUUAAAUAUAAAUUCGGAUGUACACACAACCCCAUCGGAAUGAGCGAUGUUGGUAAAAUAAUGCAAUAUUUUCUUUCCUGUUGUAUAUUUUAAAAGAUGCAAACAAAAAUCCCCAAGCCACGGCAACAAGAAAGCACCGCGAGCAGACAGAAAUAAUUUGAGUGCACAGACUUCCCUCUCUCCCUCUUUGGGACAUGUGCAGCAAGGGAACUGUUGGGAAACCUGUUACGUGCGGAGUUACUCGUGUUUGGAUUUGUGAACAGCUGUGUUGGUCAGAUGGUUUUUUCCAGCAAGUGUAGCAACGGGCCGUGGUCGAAAGCUCAUUGCAGGUUUCAGGGUGAUGGGACUCCUGGGUUUCAGCCCCAGCUCUGCCACGACGUCGCUGUGUAACCUUGGGCAAGUGAUUUAACCUUUCUGUGCCUACAGUUUACCCAUCUGUAUACAUGGGUAUAAUAAUAUUUACCUACCUCACAGGGGUGUUGUGAGGCUUAAGCAAAUGCGUGCGGGAGGUGCUGGAAUCGCGCCAUAACGUUGUCGUUCUCCUGGGUUUGUGCUGUUACCAGGAAGGAGCAGUGAAGGGGUUGGUUACACCACACGGAAGGAGAUCCUGCCAGUCCAUGUGCGUGUCGAGAAAGUGAUCUUAAGUCUUUUCUCUCCCCAAAAGCAAGGAAUGGAGAAAACGGUUGUGUGCCAACUCAAUAGCCUUGCUUUCCCAGUCCAAGAUAAUAGCGCUGUUUGCAAUAUUGUUUUCUUACGCAGCAGGUGACCUUUCCCUUUUCCUUUCUGUUUCUGGAAACUUGAAACUAAAGAUCACAAAAGUAUUUCUGAACCGAACAGAUUACUGAUGAAUACUUGAAUUUCUUUAAAAGAUGCUCUCAUCAGCCACGGUUAAUGUGCACUAAUCUUUCAGUCAUCAGCAUCCAUCUGAAUACAGUGAAAAAUUUGCUCACGCUGUUUUGGAAUAGCCUGGACCUUGGUUGGGAGGCUGGUAUUCUGUUUGAGUCUUGUAGGCAUGGGAAACUGGAGUCUCAACUGAAAAACGUGAACAAUCUGUUAUUCUUUUUGCUUUUGCCUUUGGGUUUCUUGGCUGCCCAGGGACAGCACGAUAACUGCAGUUCACUUGGUCGUAUGGUAGCUUUUUUCACUGUUUCUUUCCACCGUGUGUGAAGGUGGGUUGUGCAAGGGGAAACCAGAGUCAGUGCUGCUCAUGUGCUUCUCUUCUCCAAGUACCUGCUUCCCCGCCAAAAACACAUCCAGAGAGACCAGACCAGGGCUGCCUUCACACCCAUCCCCAACCAAAGCUCCCCUCACCACCAGUGGGAGCUUUGGCUGUCGAUGAUGUGUCCUUCAAGGUGGAUUCAUCCCUGGUUUAACCCCAGAAUGCUCAGUGAAACCCACAGUGAUUCUCUCUAGACAAGGGGAGGGGUUUUUUCUGUUAUUUUACUAUUUUUUUUUUUAUUGUUUGAGUGUCCUGACCAUCCUGUAAUGUCUCUUUUUGCAAAUUCAGUGUGAGGCAAGACUGCCUGCUCCCUUCCAGCAGCGCUUUGUGAAGCCUGCUCACGCACUCCUUACUCGGGCAGAGCUCCUGGGUUUUGCUGUGGGAUCUUCCUUCCUCUCCUGAGUAAGGACUGAAAUCUGGGCAGCGUUUCAGCAAGCCGUCAUCUUCACUAACCCGAGGUUCGCCUUGCAUGAAACCAGAACAAAGCUGGGAAACCCUCCUCCACCUCCGCCUUAGUCUGCCGCGUCCCUCGCGUCCCAUCCCUGUUCCUGUGUGCCACCAUAGGGAGGUCGGUCGGAUCUUCUGGUUGCAUGGCCCAGUCUUUUCCACAUCACCAACCAUGUAGCAGCAGAUCCUCCCCCUAGGGUAGAGCACAUUCAAAAGCUCUCUUCUUGCAGAUGAGCCUCUUCCCAUGAGCAUCAGCUCUGGGGCUGCUCCUUCCCCCUUCGCCUCCUCCACCAUUUAUUUUCCCUGUUUGAAGCACUCAGCUCAGUGCUUCUGGGUUUUCUUUUUACUGCUUCUCUUCCAAAAAAAAAAAAAAAAACAACAAAAAAAAAGUUUGAAGCUGGAAAAAAACCAACACAGCAAUGUAACUCCUUCGGUGCUAUGCUAACUGCUUUGUUCUACCCAACCAAGUGCUGGCCAACGUACAGAUUGUCCCUCUUUGUCCUAAGAAGCACCACACAUCUGUGUCUUGAACAGGGAUGAACUGAGAGGGAUGAGAGAGGGCGAGUGCUGUUCGGAAAGCAAUGGAAGUCUUAUGUGUAUCUAGUAGAAAAAAAAAAGAAAAAACUAAAAAAAAGAUGUAAAUGCAGACUGCUUUCGUAGCUAAUUGUCAACCAACUUGUGGAACUAAGUAGGAUAUAGCCUAUAAGAUAUUGAGGGCAUUAUAUAUAUAUAUAUAUAUAUAUAUACACACACAUAUAUAAGAUAUGAUGAAAAGUUUACUUUUAUCAAUAAAUCACCCUUUAAUUUUCCUGAAAAUGCACUAUUCAAUAGUAAACAUAUCUGCCCGUGUUUGCAGACAGCUGAUUUGCUUCGAGCCACUCCAGCAGCAAUGGCUUUUCCAACUGCAGAGGUCAACAAGCAGGUGUUAGGUCUGAUUCGAAGUGGAUGGCUCAGAGUUUUGGGGAUUAAAGGGACUAGUCAUCGUGUAUGCCUGCCUCUAUAUACGCAGUGGAGAUAUAGACAAGCAUACAUGCCAUGUUACUGCAACAGUAUAUAUGUUUUAAUAUAUAUAUAUGAAUACAUUGUGAAUUCCUAAGGGCUUUUUAAGAUGAGGAAGGCAGUUUCUGGUGUGAGCUGCAAAGAAUUUGGGGAUUGAAGGUAGGGCUGUAAUAAGUAUUCCUAGCAUGUUAUUUUUUAAAGUCAAAAUAGGGAUAAACAGUCGUCAGAAGCUUAAGGUCCUUCUGGAGAAAUGCUGUACCACCUGAUUUUCCUUUCUUUAAGAAAGAUGGAAGCCAAAAUCAGACCAAAAGUUAGGGCCACACGCAGUGUCAGUAUAAAUCAGUAAAGCUCCACUGAUGUCCUCACAUUCCACGUCUCAAUAACAAUCUGGUGCCAGGGGAACCUAAACUGAGCAUUAUGGCCCCACUGGGCUUUCCUGAACCAGUGAUAAGAGACUUCCUGUUGUUGCUGAAACUCAGUCAAAAUCUUGGACAAAACCAAGUGUCUCUUUCCAAGCAGAGCCAUGUGAAUUUGGCAAACCCCUGACCCACACAGGGGCUUUCUCUGCCACCCAUACCAGUGAGAACAGCCCUGCUUACAGGGGCAGCACAGUGGGUUCUUCUUUUUGGGGACUGGACCCCAAAUCUAAUUUCAAGCCCUAUGGAUCUGAAUGCCAGCUGGUACCCGAAGGGAAUGAGAAUUGUUUUCUCUCCAGAUGUCAUUCCCGUCCAUCAAUCACAAGAACAAGGAGCUCAGAUUUUCCUAUUUUUGCCAAUAAAACCUGCUGCCAGUCCCAGAGUCCCCUCCCUCAAACCCAGCUACCACCACCUGCAUGUCUCCCCUUUCUUCCACCUUAAAAACAAAUGCUAUUCUUUCCCAAGUAGCAAAGAUCCAGGACAAAUGCCAGAUGAUUACACCUGCAAUCUGUUUGCUUUAGGAUUUUAUUUCAGUUUCAGAGGGCAUAUGAGUACACACAGAGACACAUGCCUGCAGAAAUUGCAGUAACCUGAAGUUGAGGCCACUUGACUUCAAUGGACUUGCUCUGAGCUGACACUGCUAAAAGAGAAACCACACACCAAGUGUUCCCCAGGCUCCCCCCAAAUUACUAACAGUUUCAUGCUGUUCCCAUAUAAUUUGUUUCUGUUUUUGUUUUUCAACAAAUACUGAAAACUGGUUAACAGCCAGUAAAUUUACGAUGGAUAAGUAGUAGGAAAAGUGUACUGGUUCUCACUUAUCCAUAGACCUCUUAGCACUACUCCAGCAAUUAAACAAGCCUUAAAUUGGAUGUGAUUGCUGCCAUUUGGAGGAGAGCUGUGAUCUAAAAAGGUAUCACAGCCAAAUCCGUUGGCCCUUUCUUCUCUACGUAGGGAGAGUGAGGAGGAAGAGAUUUUACAUCAAAUGUCGAAGUUUGCCAUUAGCUACAAAGUGUGCCCUUUAUCAGGAAAAAACAACAAUGGUUUUGUCUGGUGGUUCCACUCUGCAAACUCUUACCAUUCCAGCCUUUUGUUCCAGUGGGAAUGGGAAGUAGUUUCAAAAGCGUUUAAAUACUCAGGGAAGGACUAUUUCAAAUCUAGGUUUGGUCACUUCCAUUUGCAUCACUGGGCCAAGUUCAGAUCAUUCCGGUCAUUUCCCAUGGUGUGAAACCAGAGUGAGACAACAGCAGGGGUGGGACCCAUACAUGGUAUCCCAAUGGUAACCCAGUACGUGCAAUGUACUCCCAAUGGUGAUGUAGAUGGAGACCUGGUAUACCAUGUCCCAUCAUGCAGAAGGAUCUCCACCACGUCCCAGCCCCAGGAGCUGUUUCUCUAACAAUAAAAGUUUCACAGAUAGGCUAGAUUAUUUAUUUAUUUAUUUAUUUAUUUAUUUAUCUAUUUAUUCAUGAUUGCGAGGAAAUAUCAUCUCUUUAGCAUGUAUAUUUUUGGAUGGACUGUUGUAUAUAGAAAGUAAAAUCACAGUGCCUGAAGAUGUACGUUCUCUUUCCAUCUCUGCUGUGUGCUGUUGGAUAGGCAAACCAAGCUGUUAGGAAUGCCUCUGCUACCAAAUGCAACCUGCCCUGCCUAAACUCCCUGGUACCAUUGGCUUGUGUUCCUGGGGAGGUGAUAAGGGAAUAGUUGAUCUGUUGUCUGGAACCCAUCACCAACCCCAUCUCCAGCCCUGCAUCCAUGCUGUUCUUUCCCAAGGCACUGCAGCAUGGCUUUAAAGAUUCCUUUGUGCCCUACAGAAGUGUUGGGAAGACAAGAGUAGUGAAACACUUCUUGCAAAGCUCUUGAGCACCUUCUGAUUGAAUGGAAUUCUCUAAGUUGAUGGCAUCUUCUAAAAUCAGCUUUCAUCCAAGAGGGACUUCUGAUUAGUGAAUUUUGAUAGUACUGGAAAGUUGGCACAGCCGUAGGGAAUAGCACAAUUUAAAUGCUAAUAUUUCAGAAGUGUCACUUUUUCCAUAAAUAUUGAAAUUUGACCAAUCAUUGCUAGACCUCUUUGUUAACACUGAAAACCCAGAAAACAUUCUUGCACUGGAUUCCUCAGAAAAACCUGAUUCACUGAGCACAAAUUCCAAAAUCACCCCAAAAUGGUAAAGAGAAGCUGCUAAAGCAGGACACUUAUGUUCUUCCAAUGCACCUGCAAUGUGCUGUACCGUAACCAAUGAAUACUGCCCAUCCGCCUUGCAGUACGUGCAUUGGGACCCCAGCCAGGCUCAGUACCCCGUUGUGCUGAGCACUUUACCAAAACACAGAGGGACAUGGACUUGCCCCAGAAGAGCUUUUAGUUCCACUGUAGUUGUUUUUGUGACCUUGGACAAGUCGUAGAACUGCUCUCUGCCUCAGUUUGCCCAUCUCUAAAAUGGGAGUUAUGAAGCCUACCUCGCAAGGAUGAUGUGAGGAGUAUGUCAGUGACAGCAAAGUGCUUUAACAUCAGAAGUACUGUAGGACUGUAGCAUUCAUGGGCAAAGCAGGUGAAAGCAGUGUAGCAUGUCUCCUGGUCCCUGUCUUCACGCAGCCUGGUAGACACUGGUCUGAUUUGGCUGUUUCAAGAAGGACUAGCAAAAGCCAGACGAGAUGCCGUGCUAAGCUUAGGGUUAACACUUUCCUCCAUCCUUCAAAACGCUUCACUCUCCCAUAGGAAAACAGCCAUGGAAGUCAGUUGAGGAGCCAGGGAUUUCCUACAAUCAUCUUUGGGCAGGGAGUUAGAGAAAGCAGAGGUGGAAAGAGCACAUGGGUCAUCAGGUGCAUUCCCAAGAAUGCCUGUGCUGUGGGCAUCCUGUAUCUUACGCUCUCACCCUGAAUCCUGUCUGCAUGGAAAUAUUCCAAAGAAGGGCCUUGCUUACCCUAGACCCUCCUGAUCAGGCACAUUAAAUAGAACUUAUGGCCUAAGAUUUCCUAGUAAGAAGUCUAUUUUUUUGCGAACUAAGCUUGAAACUCAGUCUUGCCCAUGCCUUGAAUCUUGCCUUAUUAACCGAACUCAGUGCAUUCUGGACCCAGGUCAUCCAUCUGAAGUCAUUCUUCCAGUGCCGCUCUGAUCCUGUGGGGCUUAUGUCUGUCAUCAUGUUAGGAGCAAGGAUCUACCACUGAGAUCAGGAAAGGUUGGCUCCUUUCUAGGUCACUUCUGCAUGUGAGCCACCCUCUUGUCCUUAUUGGGGUCUAGACAGACUGGGCUCCAAAUCAGACCCCACAAAAAGAUCUGAAAGACCAAGGAAAAUUACUUCAAGUCCUGCCAUGGUGGCAUUUUAGCACCAUCCCUAGCUUCUGCCAGCAGGAUACAUUUGGGAGGCACGAAGACCCCCAGCAACCCCUGCUCUGAACUGGCUAAAGCAAGCAGACGAGGAUAGGCUUGGUCCUCUUGCAAUGCCACCGAGCUCGAUGGCUGUCCCCUUGAUUUGGUGCUGUGCCACUGAGAGCAGAGUCAGGCGGGCGUCAUCAUGAUGCAAACCUGGUGCUAUUAAUUUGGCAUAGAGUGCCUGCGAGUGUCUUCUUUUCUUGAUCACCAAGCAAUUAGUUUAUGCACAGGAAGCCCAAGGUUUAUGUACUGUCUGCUGUGACUUCUCAUUUCACAGGGGGGCUCUAAAGUAUUCUAUCUCGUUCCUCAACUCUUCCUCUAUGUCUGCAUCUUGGAGGGCAAGGUGUGCAUGUGUUGGUGCUUGAGUGUCAAUCCAUGAGCAAAAGUAACGGAGCAAGGGCCAACCGGAAAGUGCAUUGCAGGAGAGGAUUGAACUGAGUGUAGGAGAAGUGCGGGGUAAGCCCUGAGAAAACCAGACACGCAUUUGAUCUCUGUCUCCAUCUGACAGCACUUCUGUAAAUCUGUUGAGACUGUUGCCUAUGUCCGGGACAGUUUUGUCUCCGGGCUCCUGGGGAGUGACAGAUUGAGAUAUUCAGGGCAGGGUUGUGUGGAGGGAUGAGAUCAGACUCUCUGAGCGCAUCCAGCACGUCCCAGGAGGCAGCCCACGUCAGACUGUGCCCUGAUCAUCUUUGAUCGAGCUUUGAGCUCUAAAUCCUGCUUCCCUUACAUCGGCGCAAGUAUCUUGAACUUGGCAAGAUGUGGUCUUUUUAAUUUAGGAAGGCUGUUUUAAAAGUGCCCGAAAUGCUAGAAAAGAGCUCCUUAAGAAGACCAAAUUCUGGUCCCCAUUUCACUGUAUGAACCCUGUAUGAAUUUUUUAAUGGAACAGCCUGUUUUUUUUUUUUUUUUUUUUUUGCCAUCAGCAAGACCAGACGUUGGCCUGGCCCCACCUGCCCUGAUUAACUCCCAAAGCCCUUUAUUUGUUGACGCCAGUGACGUUAGGGCAGCAAUGUUUCCAUUCUCCAGACCUUGUGGUGCCUUUUCUUGUGGUGCUUACCCUUUGCAGGACUCCAGUCAAGGCAACCACUCGCAUCAAACAGCAACGCCAGUACUUCUCCUCUAGAUUAUGUGCCACUGCAGUAACAGAAUUUAAUGUAUACAUAUAUAAAUACAGAUAGAUAGAUAUAAAUAUUACUAUAGUUAUAAUUAUAUAUAUAUAAUUGAGGUUCUGAUGCCGCUGUGAAGGGAACGGAUCGUUCCUCUGCAGGAUUACACUGGGUGAAACCAACAGCUCAAUAUCUCGUAAAGGCUUGCAGCCUUGGCAAGGAGAUUCUCUCCCAUGCGUUCGUUCUCACAUCACCCAUUUCUCCUCAACACAACAACAAUUUCCAAAGCAUUUCUCCAAAUUCUGGGGCAGAUGAUGCCACGUGGCAACAUUGUCCUCCUGCCAUGGGAUGGGUGGAUGUCACCUUGCCAUGAAGGGAGGAUGAUGGGGCCAAUGGGAUGGCAUCCCCAGAUGGUGGCUUUAUUGUUUCCUUUGCACCAAGGGGAUGCAACCCAACAUAUUGCAGUUGGUGUUUUCUCCGCUAGCCAACCACCCUGCCCGCCAGCAAGCAUUCCUAUCUCAUCUUCCCAAUCGUCUUUCCAAUGCGCUCACUUCAUUUUUUUCCCAUUGGGAUGCUCGGUUUCCCACGCUGGGGAGGAGGGAAGCUGGCGAACGUGGUUUGCUUUACUCAUGCCAGUAGUUCUGCCUGACUCCAGGGGGCAAUUUUUUUUGUCUGGACUGCUGGGUUGGGUCAAUCGUCCCCUUGUCGUUAUCUAUCAUAUUGCUGAACCUAUGGGCUCAUUUCGAAUAGGACAGAUGUUGAGUGAAGGUAUUUUCUACUAAAGGGAACAACACCAAUAAUACUGUAAAAGGUGCUAGAAUCAAACCUCAUUUUAUAUACUUUGGUUCUUAGAGAAAAAUAAAUAUACACAGAAUUCUUCCUGUGCAGCCUUACUGUAGAUUGUUAUAACCAACUCUUUAAUCCAAAAAAAACCUAAAAAAAAAAAAGAAAAAAAAAAGAAAAGGUUAAAAAAGGACAAAAAUGAAGCGAUCCUGUAUAAAGUGUAACAAAUAUGACUUUCCCAUAUAAAUGUAAAUGAUCAGACAUAUAUUAAAAUGCACUCGAGGCAGGCGGCAAGCAUGGAAAGCUUUUGUAGCACCCUUUUUUAUGCACAACAGCUGUCUUUUUUCAUUUGGCUGGUGCAAGAGGGAAUGUGCUGAGGCACUUCUAUUUCCUUUUAAUUCUGUGCAUGAUUUUUUGGGAGAAGGAAAGAGGAAUGGGAAGGAGGAGGGUGGUUUAUCUAGCAAGCAAGCCUGGAAUAUUCAUCUCUUUAUUUCCUUUUUUUUUUUUUUUUUUUGGCUAGUUUAUGACUAUGUUUGGACUCCAUUUCUCAAAUGCUUUUUAGAGCUUUGCUGCCUGCCCCAGGUGCUCAGUGUAACUCUUACCUCAAGAAUGCUUACAAAAAAAAAAAAAAAAAAAGUCAAUUGUUUCUUCUUUUCCCGUGUCUGGAAAAUUCAAACAAACAGAUGACAUCAAUGACAACAAUACAAGUGAAAACACGAACAACCAGCAGUGAAUGGAGUAAUGAGAAAUAAAAAAGAAAGAAGUCAAAGCAGAGGUUUGGUGAUCAAACCGAGCCAUUCUGGUGCUUUUCCCCUUUUUAUGUUGCUAAUGAUCAAAAUUACAUGAGAUGGGCUAGGACAAGUUUGUGGUCUUAGGCUGUAGCAAAAAAAAAAAAAAAAUGUAUCUAAAAGAAUACAAAUUUGCAUGGAAAAAAACUCUGAUGGAGCAUUUAAAGAAUGGCUGUUUCGAUGUCAGACGUUUAAUGUUAGCAUGUGUGUGUGCUGUAUAUACCUUUUCAUGUGUGACAUGUACAGUUGACUGAGGAAAAAAAAACAUAUGGAACCGAACAAAAAAUAAUAAUCAAAUGCUAUUUUAUCAGAUGAUGCACUUUUUCACCUUGAUGAGAAGCCACUGUUCACAACUAUGCAAUCUUCCAGUUUCUCUCUCUAUCUCUUCUCUCCAACCUCAAAUUUCCCAACUAUUUUCCAUAACCUAAACCGUUUUUUCUUUCGUACAAAGAAACACAAAAAGUUCCAAACUCUGGUUCAAGGUGAGAGUGCUACUGUGACUUUUCUCAAGCGAUAAGAGCUAACAAACAGACAAACACAAGGGGUUUGGUUUGGUUUUGUUUUUAAGAAAAAAGGAGGUUCAGGCAUGACCCUUUUAAUGUUUUCUAAAUGAAUUGAUGUUUUCUACAUGUGCCAGGCUUCUGUUGACUGUUUUUUGUGUUUGGUUUCAUUUCUUGAUUCACGAUGUUCACUCUCUUGGGUUUUAGGAUUUAUUUAUUGAUUGAUUUUCUUCUGUAUUUAUUUUCUCUCUUUUUUUUUUUUUUUAAGUCUGGUUUUGUAUUGUAGGUAUUGGGGAUGUGAAGAUGAAGGUGAAAUUUGGCUUAACUUCAAGUGUUUUAGUACAUGUGUGUGCUAUAUGUAUAUAGUUUUCUACAUAGAAAAUUUUACACGCUUUUUAACGCACUUUACGACAUGUAUGUACAAAGUUGUCUAUAUAGAAAAAGUAGUGAGUUAUCUGACCUUCAAAGAAGAGAGUUUUGAUUAAGAGGAGUUCAGAUAUUUGAGUAUCUCAUGUGCGCGUGUGUGUGUAUUAUAUAGUAUAUUAUAUAUUACAGAAAUAUAUAAUAGUGUAUGUCCAUGUUAGGGUGUGUAUAAUAGGUACGCACAUCCAAACACAUGAUCAUGCCCACCUAUACCAUAAAAGUAGAGGUUUUCAAUUAAGGUUUUCAAGCUAUGAUAAAUAGCCUGGCUCUAUUCAGUAAAUUUCUUCCCUAUCCUUUGAUGAAAGGUAUAAAGUUAUCCUCCUUUGUUGUCCCCAGUACACUGUCCCCUUGCCAUGGGAGAAAUGUGUGUAUAGAUUUAGGAGGAGUUUGCCUUUAUAGCCUUUCUUUUCCCACCUUGGUUUACCAGUGGAUGUAGAGGAAGAGAAAACAGGUCAUCUAGCCAGUGAUGAGCUCAGGAAACCAUGACCACCAGAUGGGGCUGCCAUGUCCCCUGCCACCAAUUCACCAUGCCACCUAGAGCAACAUCUUUCCCACUUCUCUGUGCCUGUCAGAUUGGGGUUGCCGAUUCUUUCCAAGCCUUUAAGCACUUUGCACUCAUGGUCCUUCUCUGCCAGUACCACAGGGUUCCCCUCAACACCAGUUGGAGGUGAUUCGGGCCAGUUUACAGUGAGAUCUUCACAGUCUUACCCUUGUCCUCUAGCUCUCUUCUGUUCAUGAAGCCCACCCCUGCCUUGCUGGUGCAUGCUUUGACCUUCAUCAUCUCACCAUUAGGUUUUAAAUGAACACCUGUGUGCUUCUCCUUCUUUCCACUUGAGGCUUCCCAGUCCUUGACAGCCAUGUCGCACCAUGCUGAAGUAAUUCCAAGCCCACUUUUGCCCCACAUCCUACAUGUGGACUUCAUGUUUUUUGGGGCAGGGCACAUGAAGCCCCAUUUCUGAUUUCACUGCCCAUUGGACACCUGAUUUAGUAAAGCUCUUCCACACAACCAAAGGACAGCUAGGCUGUUAUUAUACUCAGCUCUAGAUAUAGAAAGGGCCCUUAUUGGAGCCAGCAAAAGUGGGAAGGACAAGGGAAUGGGUUUGUGGCAUCUCUUCCAUUUGUCAGUGAGAAUACAAGUGUCCACACCAGUCUGUAGUAGCAUGGAUGUCCUUUCAGGCCAUCUUUCAUGUUCUAUUUCUAAACAAGAACGUCCUAUCAUCCUUCCUACCGAAGUUAAACCCACAAUUAUCUGGAAACAGAUAUGCAAAAGCUGGGGACAGUCUUCCCGUCUUGCACAGUGUCAUGGCUUAGCAGCCCUUGUCAGUCAGCUGGUUGAGCUGUAGAGCCAGGUGGGUCUGCAAACCUACUGUGAUUGCUUCUUGUAACUCAGUUCUCUAGAAAACAGCAUUCAUACCUAAAUUAAUUUGUCAUAGGACACCUCACCCAGCCUUAGAUGUUACACAUUGUCUAUAUAACAGUAUUGUAUGUAGUGCAGCUGUAUUGUCUCAAGUGUCUACUUCUCCACUCUUUGCAGGCUCUUCUACCUAAUGGCAAGUUUUAGGCUGUGGCUGAUGUUUGCAAGGAGUUAUAGCUGUCCCUUGGACUUGCUGUUAGGAUGCUGGGAUCUGUGUGAAUGAUUAAUCCCUCUCACAAAUCAAAGACAGUCUUUUUUUCCCCUGAGUGACUUGAAGGCAGAACACUUAAUUUCCUUCCCUGAAAAUACAAUGCUGAGAGGUGCCCAUCUAAAAGUGAGGCCAAGAGGAAUCAUUUUCUGCCCCACUUAGCGGUUUGUAGUAAAGCCUUAAGAAAAGAAAAUAAAAGAAGGUAGUUUUCUAAUUGCUAGAUUCAACAAGUGGAGGAGCAUAGAGGUCAAGUUUGACUCAAUCCAUAGCCAUGCAGACAAAGUCUUUUAUCUUCACACAUUCCAGUUUCUUAAGACAGUAAGUGGGAAAGGCUUCUCCCUUCAAUGGCUCAUCCAGAAAAUCUGCAAGGGAAAUAAAUACCUGGAAGACACUCGGUGAUAUAUUCUUCCUUUCCAGGCUAUUCAGAGCCUUCAAAACAAUGCAGUGAACCCAUUGGAGCUAAAAUAAAAGUAGACCCAUGUUUCCAUUCAAAAUGGCUUUUAGUGAAAUGGAAAAUAAAAAAGAGUGCUGGCAAAGAGCAGGAGAGGUUUGCCUUGUGGACAAGUAUAAAGCCACUUGCAGCUUUCUUACCCUAAGAGGGAGUAUAUUUCUUGUUCCCUUGAUCGGAGAUGCUUGUUCAAAGUUCUUUGCCUUCUGGCUCUGUGUGUAUGGGGUGGACGUCCUCUAAUUUAGCAAGAAAAGUUGGAUAUCCAGUGAGUUAUCAUGAUUCCUUCCGUAUUCAGGACACCUCCAGGUAGAGAUUUCUCCCACUUGGUUUCCAAUUUAGAUCAGUUGUGUGCCCUUUAGCUGGUUACAUUUGGGUGAAUUGAAUCCCACCUGAAGUGGACAGAAUUCUCCACACUUCCAAACUAUUUCCCACCAUGUCUUGCCAUCAGGCUGCUUCUCUAUUUGCUCAGCCAACAAACAUUCAAAGUUAUCUCCUUCAGCAUAGCUCCAUGCUUGCACAACAUCCCCUGCCAAAGGGAAGCAUCGACAUUAGGCAGUCAGACUGAAGAAAAUCAGGCUGCAAUUCAGAGUUGGACUCACUGAAGAAGGGGGAGAAGUUAUCACUUUCUGUGACAGUCUGCUGAUCACUGUAAGGGUUCACAAAAAACCUUGAAAAUUAAUACACAAGGAAUAACCUUCCAUUUGUUUUCCUACAGGGUAAGGUCAUUCUUUGUCUAGAUGAAAAGCAAAAGGGAAAAAAUUGAGCUACAGCAAGGACUUGUUCAAAUACAGAGAGCUGGUAGCAAUCACAUUGGCUUCUUCAUCUCAUUAGCAAUCUGUUCUGGUCAAUUUUCCUCAUUUUCUUUAACUCAAGCACCAUGUUGUAAAUAUCAGAUUGCAACCAUUUACAGAACUGCUGGGGAAUCAUGCUCCUUCCAGGGUGCUACUUCCUAACUUCGCAGAAGUUUAGAAGGUAUGUUUGAGCAGCAGCAAGUGGGUUGUCUUGUCUGAAUCUUUAAGCGUUUUUGUCUUUGUUUCACAUUGAGCACCUAAGCUCCUUCCAUCCUGGGAUAUGUGGGUGCCAUGUCCUUUCUUUGCUGCACAUACCGCUUGGAUGUGACCGGUCCAGUGGCCUGAAGAAGAGCCUUCACCAACCGUCCCAUGCUCAGCUACUCUUGUUGGGAACAUGCUCAACCACUCUUGUUGGGAAUGUUUACCAGUAUCCAGCCUGCUUCCCACUGCUGUAAUUAAACCAGCUGCUUCUCAUCUUCAUAUCCUUUCUGCUAUAGAAGUACCACCUACACACCGUCCUGGAUUGAUAGAGUAAAUAUAGAAGCCAGUAAGCCUAACCCUAUUCCAAAUGCCUCCCCUGAGCUUUGUGAUGAGAGUUAAGAGCCCCAGUCAUCCAGGUGCCUUAGCAAGUCUCCUUGUAGGAGUGCUGACCAUGCAGCCAGAUCCCACCAGCUACCCACACUGGUCACCCCAGAGCCCGAUCACUUCAGUGGUGCCGUCUUCCUUGCCACGUAGCUGCUGUUGCCUGAAAAGUGCAACAGAAUCCAUCAAGGGGCUGCCCUUCUGCUGAAGCCUUCUUUUGUUGGCCACUGUCAACAAGUCCGAGCUAAUAUUUGCAAGCAUGUGUUGGUGAAUGUAGCCUCAAUCAUUCCCAGGGUGUGCUGCUUCCCCUUGGCCACCAGAAGAGAGGGGAAACGGCUUAUCUUUCUUUCACUUAGUGCCAGUAGAUUCCCUGAAGAGUUCUCCCUCUUUGUGUUCAUGCACUACGAGUACCCCUAGAACACAGGCUAUUUCUCAGAGCUGCUUUAUCAAUGCUGAACAUCAUAUUUUUUUUUCCCUUGAAGAUGACUAGUUUGUAGAGAAUGCUUCUGAUUUACUUCUGCCUUUCCCCCAGCUUUCCAACGGCAUUGUCUCUAAGUGGACUGUAAUACUGGUAUCAAUGUUAGUAGGACCCAUUGAUCAAGUAAUCAAAGCUCACUGCUGUGUUGGAUAUACAUAUGUUAGUGACAGUUGCGUUAAGCCAAAUUUAGCAGCUGGAUUCUUCAACAUCCCUUUGUUUUGUAUCUACCUCACUAUGAUUUCUUUGAUUUCUUGUGAUUUAGUGUUGUAUACAAUGUCAGAGGUGAUAUGUAGAUAAAAAUAUAUAUAUAUAUAUAAAAAUAUAUAUUUUUUGCUUUGCAAUAAAGCUCAAAGCUAUAACACUGAAUAUUCAUAAAAUGUCAUAAUCUUUAUUGUGAUGUUCCCAUUUUAGUUGUAAAAUCCUGUCUGGAUCCUAUUUUCCUGUACACUAGAAUCAAUAUUGUGUUCACGAGUGAAUGAUUAUUAUUUCUGUUACUUUUCCACUUAAGCGAUAUUUUUGAGAUGUGAGAUAGACACCAGAAUUGUCAAAACAUGAAUUGGUUUAUGUGUUUUUUCCCCUUAUAUAGCCUGCAUGUAACUGGAAUCAAACAGUGACAUUGAAAGAAAAUGAUUUGCAGUCCUGAUCUUUCAAUUUUGGCUUGUCUGAUCAUAGCACUGAAUUUGGCAGGGAGUGGAAGCAAAAAUAGAGUCACUAUUAGGGUGAGCAUAGGAAGAAAUGAAGAAAAGAUAUUCAUCACAAUUUGGCUGCAGAGAGGAUUCGUUCUUUGAAAUAACUGAAAUGAAAUGUGGCACAUCUCUGAUGAUGGAGACCACAGUCAUCGAGCUUAAUUCCAGGCAGUGAAAAGUUAGCUGUGUGCCUCAUGGCGGUCCCUGGACCAGAGGCACACAUCCAGCUCUUUCCUAUUGAAAUGGAGAGAGACAAAAAGUUCCCUAGGGUUCUUCACACCUAAGACACUUGUCUAGGAUAUGUGGGAUACAGCUCCUUCAGGAUGGGAGUAUCUCCCUUUCUCUGUGGAUAGAGCAGAGAAGAUGAGUUCAUGUUAGAUACCUCAGCUCUCUGGGCUAAAAUCAAGUUCAGUGACUCCCAUCAUAAUUGCACAAAGGUCAUCCUGGCUAAUGAAAACUGUCUCAAUAUUAUGGUCAUGUGCAUUAUUCUGAACCAGAUGAUACCUUGUGCUCUGUCAGUGGAAGGGAUGAGGAAGGUGGGAGCUCCUGCCCUCUUGGCAAAGUGGGAAAAUAGGACUUUACCUAUUGGUCCUAUGCUCCUGUGGUGGAUAAGAUCCUUAGACCCAGGGACUAUCCAUCAGUACCAAAAAUGACAAACAUCUGGCACAGAAAUGCUGGCUGAGUCCUAUAGAAGGUAGAUGAGUGUCAGGGGGGACUGCUGAGAAGGACACUGCUCCCAUAGGCUGGAAUUAGGGGGAAAAAAUACAUUGAGCCCAAACGCUGGCACUCUUUGCUUGAGUAGAGAAUAUUUCCACGGAUCUCAUGCAUUGUCUUCACUGGGAGCAGAAUGAGGUGAAUCCUCUCCAUUUCCCUUCCACCAGACUGUAGGGAAAGGAACAUUUUCCUUCACUGCUUUGUCAAAAAAAAAAAAAAAAAAAAAAAAAGUAAUGACCAGAAAGAAUCAGACACAAAUGGAAUCUGACAUAUUCUUUAAAAGUAAGGAGAAAAAACACUACUGAACUUAAAUCCAGUUAUUCCAUAGGGGGAAAAGCAAAAAGAAAAAGAAAAUAAAGAUGCAAGAAAUGAAACCCAAAUGUGUGCGAAUCAAAUCAAAAGGGAGGAAACGUUUUUGGGUUUCACCUAAAGCACGUGACAGGACUGCAAAAUGCAUCAUUUAGAGUGGGUUUCACAAGACCUCUUCUGUGUUGUCUUCUCUCCAAAAUUUGCACAAUUGUUCAGUACUAACAGCAGUUUUUUUCCUCAUUCUGAUCUGGUGUCUGUACAAAUCUGGCUUGGGUUUUUGGUUUGUUUUUCUUAUUGUUGUUGCCUGUUCCCAGCUAUUUCUAUUUUUGCGGUGUAGUAUUUUGUCUAUAUGGAAUGAAAUGCAGAUGUGUUCAUGAAAUUGUAUAGCAGACGGAAUUACAGGUUGGAGUUGAUUUGGAAAAGAAAAACAAACUAACAAUGCGAAGAGAAAUAUCUAUAUGAAAAGUAUGCUUCCAAAGUGUGUGUUUGAAUUUGAGCAUUUUGUCAUUUUACUGAGCUUUUUGAAAGGCUUAUUUUGAAAUAAUGAGACUUUAUGACGGUUGGGGUUUUUGAAUACCAAAAAAGCACAAUUAUCGUUAAAACAUUAUCAUUUUUAUUACUUUAUUUCACUCUUUGCCUAUCUGGGCAUUAUGAUCCCCAAAUUUUGUCAUGAAAUAUAUAAUCCUUUAUACCUGCUCAUUAGUCAUCUUUCAUUAGGCAAAAGGGAGAGAUGCAGCUGUUUCAUUUCUGCUCUGAAACCACGCAGAAUUCCUGGUCUGAUUUGGUUUUUAUUUGCUUUAAAAAUAGGGUUGAAUUUUUUACUUUGUGGUUAUUCUCUUUGAUGCUUACCGUAAAGACAACAAGGUCUUCCUUUAACUGAGUGGCAAAGAAUCUAUGCGGUAUAUGCAAGAGACAGCCUUGAUUUUGCCACAUCUGCAGCGAACGGUGGUUUGUGAAGGACUGGGUCAUGCAAAGCAUUUGUGGAUCUGAUUUGGUCAUGCUGAUAAAGAGGGCAGGCUUAUCUGUGAUGCAUUCCUCAGCUGUAGGGGGAGGAGCUGAAUUAAUGCAGGUGGCUGAGUAAUGGUAGUUUGGUCCUCAGAUGUUCAGAGUUGGUUGGCUGGAGAAGUCAUUCAUUGCUUUGACUGAAUAGAGCCUAUAUUUGCUUUCCUUAUUCUCAUAGAUAUUUCCACUGAUGCUAAUGGGUUGCCUUUGGUUUCGGUCAUAGAAACAUUUUCUUGUUAAGUCUACUUGUUGUGUUGUUAGUGUGGUUGUAUCGGAAUAAUUUGCUAAUGUUGAAUUUCAGCUUUUAUGUUCUUCUCUGGCGUUGACUGUGCUUUACUGAGAAGCUCUGCGUCCCUUCCAGCAUAUACAAUAGCUCUACUCAUUUCCAGGUUGUAAGAUCUUUCGUUACUGUAGAGGUGCUGUUUAUUUUGGUGGCUGUAUCAUGAGCAAUAUCUAGCUUUGGUGAAGCUGACUCAACAUUUAUCCUGGGAUGGAGGAGCAGCACGCGUUGAUGGGGAGGGUGUUCUGUUUGAAUAGGAGUCUCCUCUCUGUUGACUGUUGUAUGACAGAUGACUUAUAAUGUGUAGAUGUAAGAGCAUUGGAAAUGUCUUCUGCUAAAAACUGGAUCUGAGCAAAGACUGAGUAGGUUCUGGGGAUGGAGCCCUUAAGCCAAGUCUCACUGGAUUUGGGUUUUCAUCUGGAACCACCAGUAUAUUCCAAAAGGCAGGUGAGGUUGGAAAAAUUGGUGCUUGCAUGGGUUGUGUUUGGAACAGAGGUGACAGAGGGUAAUCUCGUGUUGUGCAGCAGACUCAUUGUUGGCAGCAGUGUAUCAUCAGAGGAUAAGGGAGGCCUGGCAGGUUACAUUACUGCAUGGUGACCUUGCCCUUGUGGAGGCCUCUCUGGGUGACCAAUUGUUUCUGUCUUCAACAGAAGACAUAUCUGUUGUCUUUUGAGGCUGCAAACAAAGCCAUGUGACUUCACUUUCAUUCCUGGGUCACCGGGGUAUUUCUGAGAGCACCAGUAAUGUUUCUGAAACAGGUUGUUCCCCAUGGGAUAGUUAGCAUUGAGCCCUCACCCUGAAAUAGGCAGAAAAGGCAGCUGUGAGGCCUGAGCAAGAAAGGCCUGAUCUGGGGCGCUACCCAGCAAACAAACUCAAUGGACUUGAUUCUUUUAAAGCAGCUUUUAUACCGUGGGUUUGAGAAGUUAGAUAACACCUGAGUCAAUUAGUGUCCCUGAAAGAGGCUGUGUCUUACACAGAAGUGCACAGAAGGCAGUGUGCAUGUGAAUGCACCAUGAGCGUGGUGGUAGGCCUCGUCCACCAGAGGAAGAGGUUCAGACCUUUAAUGGGGUCUAAGAGCACAGAGCCAGGAAGAUUUGAGCCUUGUUUCCAUGCUGAGAGCUGCAGAAGGUUUUUAGUUCCUGAAAUGGCAAAGAAAUAAGAGCGGCUUCUUUCGAGAACAUGAGGUCCAGGCCACUCUGAAGGUAGCCAGGAGUUAAACUGACCUGAGAUCAGGGGCUGAGACCCUCUAUGCAACAGAGAGGUGUCAGUGGCUGGGAUUCUGUUGUAUUCUUUCUGUGAUCUCCUGAGACUUGGAGCCACAGAGCCCUUGGAGGCUCAGGUCAAGACAGGAUGGAUGGCAGCAGGGGGGGGAUGUGCCCAUGCUAUUCAGAAGCAGAUUUGCGUCCUGGUGUGAUGUCAAAUGUGUUCUGAGAAACUGUGUUCUGAAUGCCUCUGGAUUUCUCUGUGGCCAGGCAUUAGGCCAUAGCCAGACUCAUGAGCUGAAGGAGAGACCAGUGUGCCAUUAAAACAUUCCACAAAAGAUACAGGAGCUUAAAUAUGCAGAAAAAAAUGCCCACUGAAAUCCUUCUCUGAAGUAUGCAAAGGAAGGUAGGGAUGUGAGUUAGGGGAUAGUAAAACUUUACUUACUACAGCCCAUCCACUUGUCAGGAAAGGUGAUUUUUUUCAAAUGAGCAGUGAAUCAUCUUAGACUAAUUCUGUUUGGGUCUGGAAACACGAAGUAGUUGCACCAUCCUUCCUACAGUCCUGCAUGAUUGGCUCAGCUUUGGCUGGGGGCAGCGAGCUUUGUCUCAGGCUAUCCUCUACCUGAGGAGUUAGCAGGGGGAGCUGGAAACAACAGGCAUUUUGGUUGUGGGCAGCUGGUUUUGGAGGUUAAGGGACUGCCACUGGGAAAAGGAUUGGGGCCUGGCACCAUUUUGUUUUUAUGGAUACAGUCAACAUAGCCUUUGCCAGAUGCCGGUUAAAUGGUGCAGCAUAGUCAAAUGGAGGUAAUAGAACAGACUAGACCUACAACCAAGUCUGUGCUUAAUGAGAGAGACAAGGUUUGAGGGAGAGAUCCUAUCUUUUACUAGAAAUAUAUAUUUUUUAUUAUUAAAACACCUCCCCCUUUAAACCAUGCCUCUUGCAUUACCUUAAACUAUGCCAACUACCAUAACACAUUUAGGACAUCUUUAGAAAUGCUUUGCAAUGGAUUUUGUCUCAGUACUGUCAUUCCAGUGUUAACAAACUUCUGUGGCCCUUCUGGUCAUGCAACCUUUUCAUAUCCCAGGGUACAUACCAAAGCAAGAGACUUCAACUUUGCAAGGUGCCAAAGGUUGCUUAUUAUGUCCAAAAAUACCAUCUCUGCUUUCCGUGUGAGCUGAGGGGAUCAGUACGUUCCAGGAAGAGCCUGGAAUUUUUUUGCUCCAUGCCUUUCUUUUGUUGUCCUGCCAACAGAGCCUCAAGGACAGCAUAUGGCCUUGCUAUACUUGCUUUUUCUUAAAAAAAUAGAAAAUAAUAAGACACCAGAGUACCGCAUGAGUUUUAAUAGUGUAAAAUGAGCUGAGUCUACUUCCCUCAGACAAAAAAUCAGAAUGCAGAAUUCAUCAGUUUUAUGGCUGGCUGCAUGUUCCUGCAAUAAUUCCUUAUUUUCCAGGCUUGAGGAAUGAUCACUUUCCCCCACUUCCAGGCUGAUUUAAAAUAUCAUUCUCUCCUAAAAUAAUUCCCUCUGCUCUGAUGCUUACAAGUAACUCAGCCCUGGGCUUCCUCAAAACUCAUUGCCAGGAGCGCUGAAAGAAUUUGCAUCAAGUGGCCCAUUUCCCUCAAUGCUGGAUCAUGUAAGGUACAAGGAGGAGAAUUUUGCCUGUGGCAGAAUUUAUGUAAGCAGUGGAGUACGCAUCUCUGUUAGCCUGUAGUAUCUCUUGACUUAAAAACUCACCCUUUACAGAUGGGGAGGUGGAACAUCAGCAUCUUGAAGAUCCCCUUUUUAAUGUUCUGAAGCAGUUGGGAGUUUCAGGACAGACUUUUUUAGGACCAUUUUGCUGGGCUUGGUUUUCAGAGCAAUGUGAAGAGUUACAGCUGUGCAGGUAGAGCGGGUGAAUGUAGAAAUGUGCUAAAACCAACGCUACAAGGUGGAAUCCAGGGCAGAGAAACCUCAGAUCUACAAAGGUCCUAUGAACUUCAUCUCUUCAUGACACCUUCCUCUGCAGUUUCUGGAGAGACAUUCACAGAUUGAGGACUAGUAGUGGAUCAGAGGCUCUUCUCCCCUUAAACCUCCCAGGGAAGAGGUGAAGUUGGAGUUGUUCUGCACUGUGAGCCCUGGGGAAGUUUUUGUCACAUCAGCUCGGGUUAGAUUCAGUGGAACAAAUGACUGCCCAGCUUUUUGGAUUGCAAGCAUUUGUUUGCUCCAUCCCAUCCUGCAUUCAGCACAUUGGGUGCUUUUGCAUUAUUACUGUUUUCUGUAAAUUGAGAACUUUUUUACUGGAGGAAAAAAGACGCAUUUGUCUCUUCUUAUACCAUGACACAAUCAGCACUGGUAUAAACCAGACUCAUUUCAAAUAGAGACUGCCAGUCAGUUCUAGGUAGUUCAAGCAGCAGACCUCAUCCCUAGCACUGUGCUGGAGUAGUACAGUUCUUUGCUCAGUACAAGAACUGCCUGAUUUGCAUGAAGAAAAAGUCAUCUGAAAUGAAUCUGGUCUUAAAAAUUAAACCAAACUGCAUCAGUUUUCAAAGCGGAGAAUUUCAAGCCAGUGCGGGAAAGAGAGGUUGGCACCAGUGAGAAAUACAGGUGAAUGUGAAUAAGGUUAGAGCAGUUAUCUCUGCAGUGCUGAUAUACAGCAAUACUCUGACACAACCCUCCAGUUAUGACGUACCCUUCACCAAACUGUUCAGCUGAAAUCACCAAUGGAUAUGUUGCUUAGAGCCCACUGUGGUUUCAGCCUUCCUGGUGGGAGAUUCUUUAUGACAUAUGAUGAAGCUCUUUUUAGAUUAUUUCAUUGACCCUCCCAUGCCUUACCAAGUUCUCACCAAGUCUUUUUUCCUAGUACAGAUGAGUAAAAUAAAAUAGUCUUUUCUCAAGCUCCUGAGUUGUGGAGAAGAUGGUCAUCUUGGUACAUUUGCUUUACGUUAGGAAAGCAAGAAGAAGACUAUGGCCAAGGCACGUCUUUUGUUCUUCUGCUCUGCUGUUUCUUCCGUCUGGUAGCGCUGCCUUUUUCAUCUUGCUUCCUCUGAGAUACAUUUGAUUCCCUUUAAAAUAUGGCCAUGUCUUUGAAGAGACACUGCUCGCUUCUCAUUUGAUGUCAUCUGAAAAGCAGGGUUUAAUGGCUGGUGAUGUUCAUGUCAAAUGGCUACACCUGCAAUGUAUUUAGCUGCUUGAGGAGUGGCAGGAGAAGAUAGGUCCUUCAAAUCUAUGAGCAUUGGCAGCCAAAAGUGCAGCCAGAAGUUCUCUCCCAAGCUGUGUUCUGGCUGUGUUAUCAUGGCAGGAUCUCAUUUAGGCUGGUUUUGUAGGCACUGUGUUGGACAUUGUAAGAAUUCCUGGCCAUUUUAGUUCUUUCAUAAUUUGUCUUAGCAGCAGUAAUGCAAACUGUUAGCACAUACCUUAUUUACUCUUCUUUACCAAGGUACAUUUGGUCUCGAUCUCCACAAUGGUUAUUCAGCUCUCUGUACCUCAAACAUGUGAGGCAAGAUGUUGGUAUUCAGUCAUUCUCCCACAGUAAUUUUAUUUUUUCCCCUUUCUCUUUAGCAAGGACUGAGUCAUCUCCCACAAAGCUUCAAUGGGAAUCUAGGGAGUUUACAGGCUUUCACUGAGUCUCCAUUAGAAAUAGCAUCUCCUCCUUGUAAAUGGUUCUUGGUCCUUUAGCUUUCCUUCUGUUCUAUAAUGGCCUGACUGCUUUGUGAGGAAAAAGAUGCAAAAAAUGGAUCGCUUUGCACUCUUAUUUGCACAUUAGAGCUUUCAAACAAUCUCGUUUUCAUCUUCUGACCCAGUUCAGAGUUUCAGUGGAGAAGCGUCAUCUGGUGAAACUCAAGAAAUCACUUUCAGUCCUGAUGUUCUAUCUGGACUGGAUUAUACUUGUGAAUCUAAAUAAGUUUCCAUUGGUGGUAGAACAGCUUUAAAGAAUGAAGACCAACUUGUCUAUGGGGCUAUGUAAGGUUCUUCAGCACUUCUUCCAGAUUUUUUACUGCAAAGCAUAAAAACAAUUCAAAGGUUUGGACUGUGAUGUCUGCUACCUUACAAUUCGAGAGGAAAUCUUUCAGUGUACCCACCUCUUUUACAUGAAACAGACAUCCUUUUGCGAUCAUUUGUCCUCAUCUUCAAAAGAGGUUUUAGUAGAAUAACAUCAAAUAUCCAGUGCUGAGAUGUUCCAUAAAGCACAGAUCUUGCAGACGUCUUUGUGGAUGUCUUGCUGGAACCAGGAUGCUGUGAGCUGCUUUAGCAGGCGGUGUCCUUGCACGACCCAAUGGACAAGAUACAUUCAUUUCACAAAACCAUUGCCUAAGAUGAAAAUCAAAGGCUGCACGCAGGUGACCAACCUUGGAAAACAGUCUACAGGUAUUUUUAGGUGAGAGAAACUGUUCUGAGAGCUGCCUUGGAAAAGGAACUGAGUUUUUCGGCAUGAAAUGAAGGAACAAAGAAGAGAGCUGUUACUUCAAGAUGGACUGAUAACCUCAAGGUGGGAUAGGAUGACACUGAAAUGUGUCUGUACUUUGGAAAAUCCAAAACUUAACAACUUUCUAAGAGCUGGUAAGAUUCACUUUAUCUGACUAAGAUAACUAAAAAGUUAACUCUCCAAAUUUAAGCUAGUGUUGCUCAACUUUCUUUUUGUUUCUUGGAGAAUACUCCUAUCAGUGAUACCUAAAAAGAGAUUUAUUGGUCUCUGGAAAUAACAUUUUUCUUUCCACUGACUAAGAAAGGAGCCAAGGGUGAUUUUUCCAGUGUGAUGUGGAUGUAGGAGGCCAUUUUCACUAAUCAUGAAGAAAAUUCUUCUCUGUAGGAAUGGGGCAACAUUUCUGCUGUCCAUCUUCUAUCCAUCAUUCAUCAGAGAAGUUCACACAUUAACAUCCAAGGGGCAAAAUCACCAUACAAGGCAGAGGUCUUCAGCAUUACCUAGAAUGACAAAGCCUCUUCUUCUCAACUAGCGUCACAGUCUCACGUCCCAAGGCUUUAUGUAGUCCAGUUUUAAGCAAUUAAAAAAGUCUCCAUAGACUUAUCAGCCUUUUUGGGUUAGGCUUGCAAUUCACAGUCUUGCUGUUGCUUAGAAUUUGGGAGGAGCAGUGCUGUUUCUUUUGCAAGGCACAUGCCUUCGUACUUCGGCAGCUUUUUCUGGUGAUUGAUCAUGCAUCAAGAGGAAUGCCUCAUUUAAUUAAAAGCCCCCAAGCGAAAGAGCGCUGUGAUGGGAAUGUGUCUCAUCCUCAAACCUUCCUCCUGCAUCGGCAUUGUUCCUGACUAGGGGUUUUGUCAAGUUUCUUACUUUUCUAAGAGCCAGAUCGAUACAAGCUCUCCCAGCGCUUGGUAGAUUUCAUCAGCAUUGGCAAACUCUUUUCAAGAAGAAAGUAGCUUUUCAAAAAGAAGGUAACCAACAUGUGCAUGACCUCCUCAGAGGGGUUAGGAAUAGACUGAAGGGCCAGAGGAGAGAGACAGGGAUGGAAGACCUUUGAGAAAUUAUUUGUCUUUAUCUCCAGCUGAGCUCAUAAUGUUCCUUAGCCUCCGGCUGGGACUUCAUUUAGCUGAGGAGUGCAGAUGUAAUUUUCAAAAUAUGAGUGUUUUUUUUCUUUUAAUAUAAAAUGUACCCUCUGAGUAAUUCUGCAGCCUUUCCCACCUGACAAUACUGUAACUAACCUCGCCAUUAGGAGCAGGGAGAAAACUUGAAAGAAGGAUUAAUCCUACUCAGCUUUCACUCCCUAAAAAUUGAAGUGCCUUGCCUAACCUCUUUAGAUCUUCUUCCUCUACCAUCAGCAGAAGGAGACAGGCACGCUUGAAGAGGAGUUCAACCCACAUAUCUCACACCACUUCUUUGGGUCGAACUUUCUCACAUCUAACUUAAAGUGAGAUAGGAUUAAUUGUAUUUUUGAGUAAGGCCAAUGUGAAAUGGAAAUCACAGAAUCAAGAGCUAAAUAAAUUCUUCAAAUGCUGUUCAAAGGACAGGGACGUUUCUGCUCAAAGCUUGCAUUUUAGUUUGUUACAGAGUCCUUGGACAUCUCUUCUUGGAGCUAUGAUUUCACCUGCAGCCUUAGAACUUUCUGACCAUCUUCUGAUUUCUAUGUUUUCUUGUUUAGAUAAGUCUGGUUGGUUUUAAAUUAAGAUCAACAUGCUUGAUUAAAUCAGGAAGUCUUUAUUGUUUCUAUUACGCUACUACUAUGUUUUUGCUGUUUUAAAGCUUGUUUAACUCAGAAAUGCCAGAGCUGCUGAACGCUGCUAAACAUAGGCAGAAUAAAAAAUAUUGAGUUGUAAUUGAAAACAACUGCAGAGCUAUGGCUAGAACAUCCUCCAGUUACAUUUCGUUUUCUUGUAAAUCUCUUGUUCUCCUUUCAGUGGCAGCUAGAGAUAAUUCCAGCCCCAGGAGUGUGUGCACAAACCAAGCUGGUGUGCAACACUGGACACCUUCAUUCAGCAAGCAGUGCAGGGACAAUGAUUUGGACAGGAGAAUAAUCUUUCAGGAAGCUGUGUGUAACCUCUUGUGGAUUUUGGUUUCAGUAGAUGUCGGUUGAAUAUUGAACCUGGUCCUCUUUGUCAUAAGCAAUGUAAGCAGAUGGGUGCUCUAGUCCAGUGUAGCUGUCAAGAUCCACAUUGCAGUCCACAGGAAAAGGCUGGUCCUUCUGGGAAGUGAUCCAUCUUAUAUCUGUCUUAGGAUGGAAGGAGGAAUCCUUGACAACCCCAUACACAUUUAACUUCUGGCUGGCUAAAUAUCUGUGCAGUGAAAAUAGUAAGACUUCAUUAUCUAUUCUGUGGAAUUUCUGCUGUGCUACCUGCUCACCCUUUAAAAUGAUUCUUCCAACUUUAACCACAUCUGAUUCAUGGAAGUGACUAUUGGCUUGAGAGAACAUCUUGGCACUUUGAUCUAGUCCUGAUUUCACCUGAGCUUUGUUUUUUGUUGAUUUGCUUUGGUUUAAUAGGCAACACUUUGUCUUGCCCUCCUGAUAGUUGGGGAUGGAGAGACUUAUCUCACCUAAUCUUAAAUCAAUGGAAGUGGCUUCUUCACCUGAACUUGCUGUAUAUACUCCUGCUGCAGCACUGUCAGACUGUGAGACAUCACAUUUGGUCACUUUCAUGAUAGGAAGAAGAAUCACAUUUCAGAAGAGACCAUUUCUGUCUGCUGAUUGCAUAAUAAGCAGAGUUUAGCAUCAGGUUGGUGAUGGUAGAUAUCUGACCAGCAGCGAGGUGGCAGGAUGGCUGUCUCUAAUCUUCAGACAUCUUGCAUUAUGUUGUUUCACUCUUCCCUACCAUGUCUGGUGGGGUUUGGUGGCCUCUGCCAGUGGUUCCUGCCAGGUGGUGCAUCCACCAGAAGCUUGCCCAAGGGCUUAGCCUUCGGUUUUUGUGUAAACAAAGUGGAGAAUGCUGCUUAAAUACUGCAGAGGAAGAAAACUUGUUAGCAGGGAUUUAUUUCCAGAGGAAGCCAGGAGAAUUAUCUAUACCUUUUAACAGCAAUGAAGGAGCUGUAGGGUCUUCUUCCAUAUCCAUUAAGUUGUAUGUGUGUGUCUAGGGCAUGUGUACAGGCAGAAACAAAUACGUGUGGACAGGGAAGAUAUACAUUGGCAGUGAACUACAGUGAGGAUUCUUCUCCAAGUGCUGGGACGUUUUGUUCUCCUUUCGGAGUGGAAUCUGUGGGACCUCAGUUGCAUGCAUCCAACCCACGAAGACAGGGCAGUCUGUUGCGUUGGUGUAAUUCUGGGUAAUCACCACUGAAUUAACGUGUUGAGCUUGGUUUCACCCCUGUGAUGUCCUGAGUUGCCUCCUUUGUGGUAGGAGGGGUACGAGUAGAGCAUCUUCCUUGAGCUAGUCCCUCACAGUGAGGUACCGCCAGGGCUGCAGACAUUUGCAUCUCACCUUAAAAUUACUUGAAGGAAAAAGCCCCUUCCAAAUAUAUCUGUGGCUUGGAAUCAUGGGGCCAACACAGAUGAUCCUGCUGCAGGGAACCUGUCCAAACAAAAUGUAGAUCGAUUCUAACAUCACCUUUAAAUGCACAACCUGAGAUCCCAGCUGUGGGAGGUGGAACAGCAGUCUGCCUGGGCAGAGGCAGCAGGGUGAGAGCCCAACCCCUGUGAGCCCCCGGAGCUCAGUGGGGUCACAGAAUGCCGUGACUCAAACACACAGUCGUGUCCCUCAUCCAAUGGUUUUUAUGUUUAAAUUGUCGGGAUUUCGACAAAUGUUUCAUGCUUUUAUUAAGGCAAAAGUACGUGCUUGUGAAAUUGUGAAAUUGAUGUGUUCUUUUGUAUCUGUUUAAAAAAAAAACAUGUACUUAAAGCUAACGAGCCGUUAUUGUGCGGGGUUUUCUCUCAAACUGGUGCAUACACUUUACAUCAGGGACCUACUAUACAUAACAAAAAUCAGUGAUUCAGUUACUGUAAAACCAGAUACACACCUUUUACUGUAAUAAUAACUUUUAAAACCUUGCACUGUAAUGGUUGCUAUUAAAAACAAUCAAUCAAAAAAAGAAAAAACUACAAAAAAAAAAAAACUUGUCAGAAUGAUUUUGUAUCUUUGAUUAUAUCUGAAAUUUUAGCAUUUUUGUAUACUUACCAUAUCCACAACAGCAUCCUCCACAGUUAGUUCCCAGGUUCUGUUUCCUUUCUGUCUCACAAAACACACGCAUUGCUACAGGAUGUGGAUGGGCAGGGUAUGGCCAUGGGAACCAUGUAGGUCACCCCAAGCUCUUGUCACAUACACCCAACCAAGCUAAGUAGGAGGAAAAGCCACGACCCCAAGCCCUUCUGAUGGUGUCAGAUCCCCUCAGCAGUCCCAGCUGCUCCGAGUGUCCGACCAACAGAACCAGGGAGUGAUGUCCGAGCCUUUAUGCCGGUGUUGCUGUGGCCGCCUUGGCUGUCCAGUUCCAUCACACAGCAAUGCGUUGCCAGUAGGUAGGAAAUCCCAACCAACAAGAUAACUUUGCAAUCUCUACGUUUGUUGAUUGAUUUGUUUUUGUUUUUAAUUUUUAAAAAAUAAGAUGUAUUUGGAAUCAGACAGCAUGGUGUUGCAAUCCUUUCUAUUUUUAAAUACUGAUACAUUCUGUGUGUAAAAGUCUUGUUUCCUAGCUAAGAGAACCAUACAUGUGGAGCUGAGUUUGAACCAUUUUUUUUCCUUGUUGUACUGUGAUUUGGGAAUUAUUUUGAUAUAAUCCUUUAAUUUGGUAGAUUUCCCACACCUUCUCCCUCCUUCCUGUCAUCACUUCAUAUUUUUUACAAAAGAAAAAAGAAAACAAACAAAGGAACAAAUAAUCUUUUUUUCUCUCUUUAGGCUGUGUAAUGUUGUGUUGUCCAGAUUCUGUAUAAAAAUAUGUAUAUGAUGUAUCUGAUAUUUGGCAGCAAACAGCUGCAACUUUAACCAAUAUAAUUAACAAAGAAAUGCAUAAUGUUGGUGUUUUAAAAAGUAAAAAAAAAAAAAAAAAAAAAAAAAAAAACCUAGUUAAGAUGUUUGUGUAAACUUGCAUGGUUUAAAAUGUACUUAGUGCAUUGAGAAAUGUUGUUAGGGUCCUAAGUGAAAGGCUGGUUUACUUUUUGAUUCUAAUGGUGAUUGGUUUGUUGAUCAGAAUAUCCCCUAUACUGUAUGUCUUAGUUUAUUUAGCAUAUUUAUUUAUUUUUUUCUCAAGAUCUAGCAUAGUGUAUCUAUCUAUAUGUAAUACUGUUCCUUAAAACCAGGUUGUGGAAACUGCGUUUCGUCCGGCAAAAUGAUGUUUUGCAUCACGGUUGUGAUUCAGUUGCAUUCCAUUUAAUUUGCUCUGAAGUCCAGGUUUGACUUUCCAUUGGGAUCUCUCUUGCCAGUGGGGAGAUGCUCACGGCUGGGCUGCCGGACCCUGGGACAAGGUUGAGCCGAGGGCCCGGCUCCUGUCCUACAGCAGAACAUCAACAUCAGGCCCGGUGGUCUCGGAUAAUGGUGGGCUACAAGAGCAGGAUUUGGUCCCUCCAUAGCGAGCGAAAGUUGGGUUUUUCCUCUCGGCAGCACAAGUUUUAUCAGGAUCACAGCAGGCUCCCUGGGGUUUCUCCCAGCUCUCCAUUGGAUGAUUAUGGCUUUUAGCAGCAUCGCUGAAACAAGAGCAGUGAAGUGGGGACGAUCAUCCCAUGAAGAACAUAAUGAAGCUGUUCAGCAAUAAGCUCCCUACUUCCAGAAGCACAAACCCACCGUGUUCCAGAGGAGCUCAUUUGGAGCCCAGCCCUGCAGGUGUGGGAAGCAUACAAGCAAAGGACAUGGUUCCAUUUCACUUGACUUCUCAUUGGUUUGCUCCAGGCUUUGCUUCUGCUGAACUGCCAGAAAGGGAACAUUUCCAAGUGACACCAUCAAAGCUGCAGUGCCCAUGAACAGUUCCUGGGACUGACCUCCCUGCACAGGUCAAUGUGGAGACAUUUGUGUUUCUAAUACUUGACAAACCUCCAGUGGCCUUCCCCCAGGGUAACGCAGAGCUAAAUGUAGAUACAUAGAGCUACCAGUUUUCUUAGUGCUCUUCAACCCAGAGAGUUUCAAAGGGCUUUUCCAGCAGGACACGAUGUGACUCAUGCUGCCUAUCCAUGGCAGAGCACUGUUAUCACAGCCACCUCUGGGGUGACCUCACUCCGUAUCUGCUCGUGGCACCAUCAGAAUGCGAUCAUCUGAUGCAAGAAGUGUGGGUUGCACCUUGGGGGAACCUAGCAAAGUAUAACAUGUCCAAAUUCCAGUGAAGUGAGCAUCAAGAGCAGUUUGACUCAUUGCUUUUUCCCUUUCUGAGCAGUUCCUCUCAUUUUGUCCAUCCUUACAGGGCUGGGCAGUGAGAUGUCCAGGUAGAUUAAGCAUCUGCACUUUGCUUUCACCAGCCUUUUCUUUUCUAAGAGCUUAUAAGGUAGUCCUUUCUAGUCCUUAGCAGGAGAAUAGGGAACAAGAAUCUUUCUCUCUGCUCCAGAAACAGGGCAAGCAGGCUCCUUUAUGCAAAGUUAUGGCCGAAUUAUUUUCUCUCAAUCUUCUCUGAUCUCCACCACUUCUUUUAAACCAUGUCUGCACUCUGAUUUUGCUGCUUGAUGGUCUAACCAGUUUCCAUCUGGAAAUAAACAACCAGCCUGACUUAGACGCUGUCAAGAAUCCUCACCUGGCGUGCAGUUACGUGUCCUGUCCUGCAGCCACAUCAUACAACACAAUGGAUGUGGCCUCAACAGUGAAGACAGAUCCUGAGAUUUGUUGCAGGAUCGGUUCCAUCCAUGUAAAGCUGCUUGUGGUAGGUAUCUCCCCAGCUCAGCAAGCAGAAGUGAUCUGCUUCUCUUUUGCUUUGCUCCAUACCCAAGGGUUUCUGCAGUAAAACCAGUGCCCAAUCACAGUUCUCUGGUGAGAAGGAAAUCACCUGGUGGAUGUUUCAUGGCAUGGUGCUCAAUGGAUUUUUUGUCUUCAAGGAUCCAAUCAGUGCAGAGUCCUAUAUCUUUACAUAGAAAAGUUCCUGCUGAAAUCAAGUUUUGCUUUCUAAGGCUGCAAGAUCUGUUACUUCAGAUCCCUCAAGGAUGUACGUGGAGCAUCCUCUGAUAGAGGACAUCAGUAGCCAGUUCCUUGAAAGGGCCUUUUCUAGACAUUAGGAUUUUGCUUCUGCAAAGCUGACCUUCUCUGUCUUCAACAUGACUGGAAAAAGGGUCUGUUCCCUGUAAGGAAAGACCUUGGUUGCUGGAAAUCAUCUUAUGUCUUUUGGAAGAAUGCUCAUGGUGUCACCUCACCUCACAUCUGUUUGCCUCUUCUUGGCUCUACGUGCACUGGGGAAAGCUAGAUUUUUGAGCAGUAUUCCACAGACUGCCUCCAGUGGUCAAUUUCUCUCCCCUGUCUCACAGCUAGCAUGCAAAUGUUUUAAUUUGAGCAAUUAACCAUACAGCUGGUGUAAAUUAUCAGAGUCCUACUGCAAUAACUGGAGCCAUUCUGACACACACCAGCCAAGGGCAUGGCACAGCUCUUCACCAGCUGUCAGAGAGAUCUGCAUCUCCUCAUUGCCACCAAGCCUUGCUCUGCUCAAUGGGAGCAUGUUCUGGGGUUAGACAAGAACUCUCUUCAAAAGCAUUGCAGUGGUUUACAAGCUGAGUAACUUGUUUUGCUCAUCCGCUAGCCUCAUCAGCAAUACAUUGGAUACAUCUCUCUGUAUAGACAGACUUUCUCCUUCUCUAAGAAGGCCCAUAAAUAACUUUAAUUUCCAUCCUUGAAACCAAGUAAAGAUAAAAACAAAACUAAACUAAAUGAACAACAACAACAACAAAAAAACAACAACAACAAAGCAAAACCCAAACCUUAUGCCCUGAGAUUAUUCCACAAAGCCCAGGCAAGGCUGAGACUGUGCAGGUCAGAGCUAUGGUUUUAUGCAGGACUUUACAAGACUGUUUUAUAUCCAACGCAAUAAAGAAUAACCAACUUAUUGUAGCAAACCUUGUGCCAGGUGCUAUCUCACAGAACCUUCUGCAUCAGACAGUCUGCCCUGUAUUCUCUCUGCCUAGGGACACUUUGCAGAAUUUUGGAAGGGAAGAUCCCCCUUUUGCCUCUUUGCAAACAAAGGCAGGUUGCAAAAGGGGAAAACUGUAUGGCUUUAAGUGUGUUUUUUUCCUUUUCCUUCUCUCUUCCUUUUUUUUUUUUUUCCUGCCCUUCCUUCCUUCCUCCCUUCCUUCUCCCCACCUCUUUCCUCUUUUUCUCUGCCCCUUUCCCUUCCUCCCUCUCUCCCAUCUCUCUUUUUCUUUUUUUCUCUUUUACUCUCCUUCUUUCUUAUGAGCUGAGGAAUAGCCUCACUGGGAACCACUUGGAUCUGCAAAACCAAAUCCCAUUGGUCUCUCCAUCAGAAUUUCCAUGCUGAUUUGAGGGACACCCAAAGGAUACCCGUUUGGAGCUCUUUCUGUUGUGCUCUCGUUCAUGUUCUUUGACUUGGUUUCUGACAAUUCUGACCUCUUCUGGAUAAUCUCUUUCCUUGCUGUCAUGUUCAAUGUCUUCCUUUGACCUUUAACAAGCCAAACUUAAACUAGGAAAAUAGGUGUUAAUUCUUUCUGCUGUCUCAUGAGCUCAUCAGUCAUUCUUUCUCACCUUCCAGCAGACGUGUCUUCUUUAUCACAGAGGAAAUGCUACUCAGAGCAAGAGACUGGUGUUGAGGAUCCCAGGAUCCUCAGCUUAGCUUUUCCUUUCGCUUGCUCUCUACUUCUUCUAUGUGUGCCUCUGUUUACCCACCCAGGUAUAAUAAUAUCUACCUCACAGGGGUGUUGUGAGGCUCUGUUCUUGAGAUCCUUGUCUGGAAGGUGGAGGAGAAAUGAUCUGGUUCAUUCAGUAUCUCAUUGGCAUUCCAUGAUCAAAUAUUUUCCUAUACCAUCAGUGUUGGCAGAAGUAAACCAUGACACAAGUUUUAUUCCUUGCUUUUAUCUAUUGUCAAGGUUUGGGCCAUUUGUAAAACCUCCACAAAGGCAAAGCUGAACAUGGCACAUGGAGGAGAUCAGCAUGAUAGGAGAAGUUCUGCUCUUGUUCUUCUUAUUCCUCCAUUGGCUGAAAAUCACACAGUUGAAAGGUUUAUUGCCCUGCUGUCCCAGCAUUCCAACAACCCCAUAAUUAAUCUGUUUGCUGCUACAAACACUUUCUGGACUGUAGAAUCUCACAGGAGACACUGAAAAUCAUGCAAGUGCACAUUUGGGCUGCAUGUUAGAUUGCCAAUACUUUUCAUGACACAGUUCAGGCUGUCCUACAGCACCAUGGCAAUGUGCACGUGGUUGAUAUUUGUAAGGGUGAGCAGAGAAAACUCAUUUACAAAUCAUUUCUUUGCUCUGCUAGGAGUUUAGUACCUUGAUGCACGUAGACAACUCUGCUUGACCAUACAUACUUCAGUCAAAGGAUUCAGGUUCUAGCAUGAAUGAUUCAUGAUAUUAUUCCCAGCAACUGGCAGAGGAAGAGAGAAAAAUGUCACUUUCCUACCUUACCCCAUAGUCAGCAGAUGCUAUUCCGUCCCCAACUCUGUCUUAACCACAAUGGAUGGCAAACAGAAUGAAAGCCGUUCUGCCAAAGUACAGGAAUUUCUGCUGCUUCCUUCAAGAAAGGACUUGUUGAGACGACCUUUUGGAUGCUGACAGAAGGAUUGGAUUGGGCUACGAAAAGGUAAUAAAUAAAUAAAUAAAUGUGCACAUAAUCCUCCCAGCGAAGGAAAAGGAGCUCACGGGAAUCAUUCUUGUUCACCAUGUGCAUCUGGUUAAGGGAAAGCAGCAGGAUGAGUUGCCUCCUUUCAUCCACACAGGUACAGGGACCUUCUUGGAGCAACUUGGAAGAGGUCCCCCUUACUAGAAAGCAGCACUCAGAGAAUUUCUGCUGCCUUUGCCUUUGAAAACAGUGCUGUUUUCUACAAUACAGACAGAGAAAGCUUUAGCUGGGAUGAAUCAUGUUUUCUGCGCUCAUGGGCUGAAUAGGAAAGAGUGGGUCCAUCCCUUAAGAAUUUUGGUGAGUUUGACGUGGAAACAUCAAGGCUAUCAGCAAACAGAAAACAAAAAUAGGCAAAACAAUGCAUGUGCUGAUUAAAACAGUUUGUAUCCUACUUUUUUUUAAUUAAUUAUCCUGCAUUUUGAAAUGAUAAGUGAAAAAACUUGAAUGAAGGUAUUAAAGAUAUCAAAGAGCCUCAAGUCACAUCCUUCAUUUCCCCAUGGCUGUGAUAUAUUUCAAGAAGUAACAUCUUGAAACUUUCAUUUCCUAAGACGUUUUAACUGUGACAUGCUGACUUCUUGAGGAGGAUGAAAACAAGUCUUCAAAACAAAUCACGUCCCCUUGACCCUUUAUCCUACAUGGCACAAACUUUACAACCUUUUCCCUCUUGGAAGUGGGAUUGGCUUCAGUGUAGGAGCCCUGUGUCUGCAGCACUGUAUGGAGCCUCACAAGUCAUUCCACUUAGAUGGGAAUGACCAGGAACACAACGCAACUUGAUCCCAUUGAGCCUACAGAGCAUCAAGGAAAGCUGGCACUGUCUUGGAUCCCACCUGCCCUUCCACUGAGCUAAUGUGGGGCUAUUCUUCCUUUCUGAGGUGAUAGAGUCUUCUACAGCCUUUCAAACCAUCAAACAAAGAGGAGCCACUCUUCUGAUUGUGCAGUUUAACUUGUUGGCAGCAAUACACCCACAGGAGCUGCUCCAGGCAUUGAGCUUUAUCUAGAGAUUGGCAGGAAGGCUCUUGUUCAUUUUAUUUUUCAUAUAACUGCAUUUAUUUUCCCCUUUUUGGUGAAACUUGAGUUGUUCCUGGAAUAUUGAGCUUUGGGAAAAGCCACCAUCGUCCACGCUCCCAUGUCCUGCCCCACACAGCAGCCUAUCCAUUGCCCCAGGAUGAUAAGCACACAGGAGAGGUUAGAGGGACCAUAACAGCCCAUGGCUAUUGCAACAAAGAAGAAAUAAGCACACUGUUGAAACUAAAGCACACAAACAAGCCUGCUCCAUGAUCCUGAUAAAAUCCGCUGCCUGGGAGUAAAUUCCCUAUGGCCUCUUCUAAGAGGUCCUGAGCCCACAUUCACAUCCCCUCCUCCCUUUCUGCUCUGCAAUUUCACAUUGAGACAUCGUCCCCUACUCUCAGGCCAGGCUCUCACUGCAGAGUUUUGCUCUGUGCAGCUCUGUAUUCACCGCAAAUGACGACGACAUCUCUGCAGAAGGCCCCCGAGUGCCAAGAUGCAUCUUUCCUGCAAAAACCCCUAGGAUACAAAGGGGAGCCCGAAAUAAUGAUUUAUGCCAGCAAACAGGUCCAGGAGUUCUGUGUUAGGUGCGGACCUUUGCUGGGGUAGCUGACAAGGUGGAUUAUACCCGCAAAUGUCCUUUGUUAGAGCUGGCCAACACGCCCAAAACGCUUUGCUUCAGAUCUGGACUCGUGCACUUGCCUCUUCCCCGUCCCAUUUCUACACUUUGGUUUCCGAGCUGUUUUUUGCACUGUCAGGAAUUUUUUAAACCGUGUUAAUUGUAGUCAGCUGCAUAAUGUUUGUUAGGCCUCUCCACCAAGCUCUUUAAAUGAAAGUCAGUGGCUGUCUUCCCUUGGACAAUAAUGAAUGUAUAUAUCGUAAGUGCAGACUAUACAGAAAAGUGGCUAAGUCAAGGAUCAGAGGGUUUUGUAAAGCCUGUUUAUUUUUUUAACUAAGUUUGAGCAUUUAUAUUUUACCACCAUUUACGUGGUUUUGGGGAACCCAGAUUGUGUCAAGAUCUCAUGCCAAAACAAGCCAAAAGUUGUUUGAUUUCAACCUUUUCUUCCAUGAACCAUAUUUUAAAUGAUACUUUAAAUGUCAUUUUAAAUGUUUUAUUGAAACAUGUACUGAUGAAAAAAAAAAUACAAAAAACAAAAAACAAAAUGUCAUCUUGACAAAAGAUUUAUACAUGAAUCAGAAAGUAUUUAUUUCAAUUUUGUACCUUUCCAUUUUAAUACAUUAUAAUGUAUUGACUCAACUGAGAUAAUAUAAACAGUUCAUUUUAAUAACA
Gallus gallus (chicken) is the source of this 36804-nucleotide long non-coding RNA. Lineage: Eukaryota; Metazoa; Chordata; Aves; Galliformes; Phasianidae. The record is from Ensembl.